Molecule: non-coding RNA, 148 nt
Filed under: Pan paniscus (pygmy chimpanzee)
Lineage: Eukaryota; Metazoa; Chordata; Mammalia; Primates; Hominidae
Also listed under: 1 other name
Source: Rfam by way of RNAcentral
GCCGGGCAUGGUGGUGCAUGCCUGUAAUCCCAGCUACUCAGGAGGCUGAGGCAGGAGAAUCACUUGAACCCGGGAGGCAGAGGUUGCAGUGAGCCAAGAUCGUGCCACUGCACCCCAGGCUGGGUGACAGAGUGAGACUUUGUCUCAA